AAACCAACAGGGAUUGCCCUAGUAACGGCGAGUGAAGCGGCAACAGCUCAAAUUUGAAAUCUGGCCUCGGCCCGAGUUGUAAUUUGCAGAGGAAGCUUUAGGCGCGGCACCUUCUGAGUCCCCUGGAACGGGGCGCCAUAGAGGGUGAGAGCCCCGUAUAGUUGGAUGCCUAGCCUGUGUAAAGCUCCUUCGACGAGUCGAGUAGUUUGGGAAUGCUGCUCAAAAUGGGAGGUAAAUUUCUUCUAAAGCUAAAUACCGGCCAGAGACCGAUAGCGCACAAGUAGAGUGAUCGAAAGAUGAAAAGCACUUUGAAAAGAGGGUUAAAUAGCACGUGAAAUUGUUGAAAGGGAAGCGCUUGUGACCAGACUUGCGCCGGGCGGAUCAUCCGGUGUUCUCACCGGUGCACUCCGCCCGGCUCAGGCCAGCAUCGGUUCUCGCGGGGGGAUAAAGGCCCUGGGAACGUAGCUCCUCCGGGAGUGUUAUAGCCCGGGGCGCAAUGCCCUCGCGGGGACCGAGGUUCGCGCAUCUGCAAGGAUGCUGGCGUAAUGGUCAUCAGCGACCCGUCUUGAAACACGGACCAAGGAGUCAAGGUUUUGCGCGAGUGUUUGGGUGUAAAACCCGCACGCGUAAUGAAAGUGAACGUAGGUGAGAGCUUCGGCGCAUCAUCGACCGAUCCUGAUGUUUUCGGAUGGAUUUGAGUAGGAGCGUUAAGCCUUGGACCCGAAAGAUGGUGAACUAUGCUUGGAUAGGGUGAAGCCAGAGGAAACUCUGGUGGAGGCUCGCAGCGGUUCUGACGUGCAAAUCGAUCGUCAAAUCUGAGCAUGGGGCGAAAGAC
This 835-nucleotide ribosomal RNA is filed under the name Parachaetomium truncatulum. RNAcentral describes it as "eukaryotic LSU rRNA". It matches the Rfam family "Eukaryotic large subunit ribosomal RNA", at positions 62 to 931 of the family's 3401-position model. Lineage: Eukaryota; Fungi; Ascomycota; Sordariomycetes; Sordariales; Chaetomiaceae. The record is from RNAcentral.